AAACUUUUCCGGGUAUCGGGAGCUGGACGGCGAAUUAUUUUGCUUUGCGUGGCUGGCAGGCGAAAGAUGUUUUCCUGCCGGAUGAUUAUCUGAUUAAACAGCGAUUUCCGGGAAUGACACCGGCGCAAAUCCGCCGUUAUGCCGAGCGCUGGAAGCCCUGGCGUUCUUAUGCGCUGUU
Molecule: unclassified non-coding RNA, 178 nt
Filed under: uncultured fungus
Lineage: Eukaryota; Fungi
Description: sequence contains ITS1
Source: RNAcentral